UCCUACGGGGAGGCAGCAGUGGGGAAUUUUGGACAAUGGGGGAAACCCUGAUCCAGCAAUGCCGCGUGAGUGAAGAAGGCCUUCGGGUUGUAAAGCUCUUUUGUCAGGGAAGAAACACCGGCUCUAACACAGUCCGGGAAUGACGGUACCUGAAGAAUAAGCACCGGCUAACUACGUGCCAGCAGCCGCGGUAAUACGUAGGGUGCGAGCGUUAAUCGGAAUUACUGGGCGUAAAGCGUGCGCAGGCGGUUAUACAAGACAGGCGUGAAAUCCCCGGGCUUAACCUGGGAAUGGCGCCUGUGACUGUAUAGCUAGAGUGUGUCAGAGGGGGGUAGAAUUCCACGUGUAGCAGUGAAAUGCGUAGAUAUGUGGAGGAAUACCAAUGGCGAAGGCAGCCCCCUGGGAUAACACUGACGCUCAUGCACGAAAGCGUGGGGAGCAAACAGGAUUAGAUACCCUGGUAGUCCACGCCCUAAACGAUGCAUGACCUAGUUGUUCGGGAUUUACAUCCUGAGUAACGUAGCUAACGCGUGAAGUC
This 538-nucleotide ribosomal RNA is filed under the name uncultured beta proteobacterium. Its description in RNAcentral is "bacterial SSU rRNA". It matches the Rfam family "Bacterial small subunit ribosomal RNA", at positions 337 to 866 of the family's 1533-position model. Lineage: Bacteria; Pseudomonadati; Pseudomonadota; Betaproteobacteria. The record is from RNAcentral.